AAGAUUGAAAAGCAUUAUUUAGGUGACACUCCAGAGAUGAAGUGUUCUCCAGGCUUCGUGUCUGUGGUACUCUUAAUGCUUGGACAAACCCAUGGAGACUCAGUUACCCAGAUGGAAGGCCAAGUGACCCUCUCAGAAGAGGCUUCCCUGACUAUGAACUGUACUUUUUCAACAACAUGGUCCUUCACUGUUUUCUGGUUUGUCCAGUAUCCAGAAGAAGGUCCACAGAUCCUCCUGAAAGCCUUGAGGGACCAGGAGAAGAAAAGCAACAAAGGCUUUGAAACCACUUUGGACAGCAAAUCCAAAUCCUUCCACCUGAAGAAAGGCUCAGUGCAAGUGUCAGAUUCAACUGUGUAUUACUGUGCCAUGAAUGACACAGUGACGGGGUGGGGGGGGAGCUGA
Molecule: non-coding RNA, 402 nt
Organism: Zalophus californianus (California sea lion)
Lineage: Eukaryota; Metazoa; Chordata; Mammalia; Carnivora; Otariidae
Source: the annotation of a RefSeq genome assembly